Molecule: unclassified non-coding RNA, 803 nt
Filed under: Hevea brasiliensis (rubber tree)
Lineage: Eukaryota; Viridiplantae; Streptophyta; Magnoliopsida; Malpighiales; Euphorbiaceae
Source: RNAcentral
CGCAAAUCAAUUGGAAAUUUCUCAACUUCCUAUUAAAUCAUACAAGUAAAACGCCUGCAACUUCUGCAAUUUUUAAGCACAUGUAUAAAAUUAAAAAUGGAAGAAGCAGAUAAAGAUCCAAUCUAAGACCACAAAUUAAUGUAGAUAAUCUUUUAAUGCUCUGAUAAAGGAGGUCAUUUUUAAACUCAAAACUAGAGAUUGCCCUUGCCAAUAGCUAAUUCAGAAAGAAACAAAGAUAAAGUCGAACACAAAACUUUGGUACUGGAGAAACCCAUGCAUUACAAGUCAUACACUGUAGCAUUUCCUAGCAUGAACUCUUAAGCCUGUCGGUUCCUCUUCUUGGCACCUGACUUGGUGACCUUGAGACUCCUGUGAACAGCACUCAACCUUGCAAGGGCUGCCUUCUUCAGAUCUGGCCUGUAGUAGUUGUCUCCAACCUGGUUUGUUACAGCCUUGGCCAUUCUGCUGAAUUCCUUCUUCAUCACAGACUUGUUCAACAACCUUGAAGGCUUGUUUUGCUUCUUGGUUUUCGAUGUAGCAAGCAACACAGAUUUAUCUUUGCCAUCAGGCUGGAUAGUCACAGUUUUCUUGUUUGCUAGGCCAGAGUGCUUGUAGGAGUGAAGGUUGUAGAGAUUGUUAGGCUCUUUGCUGAAGACGACGCCAGCGGUACCAUUACCGAACUCCUUCACUAAAAAGGAGUUGUUCUUCUUCACGAUCUCCCAUACUAGUUGCCCUGGAACUGUUGUCAUUGCAAAUGAUUCCUAGGGUUUGCUCCGACGGCGGGAAGAGGAGGAUGCUGAGAG